AUGGCCAACUUCGCCGCCCAGCUCAAGGAGCGGUUCCUCGGCCUCGUCGACCGCGUCACCGGCUGCGGCCGUGGUGCCGCGGCCAAGGAGGAGGCCACCAAGCCGGCCAUGAAGGAGCACGUGGAGAUCCGAUCGAGAGCUCCCAACGUGUCAGGAGGAUCAGGGGCGGGAGUCAAUUAG
Molecule: ribosomal RNA, 180 nt
Filed under: Triticum aestivum (bread wheat)
Lineage: Eukaryota; Viridiplantae; Streptophyta; Magnoliopsida; Poales; Poaceae
Description: partial small subunit ribosomal RNA
Source: RNAcentral